AUGCAUUCAUUAAAAAUGCUCCUCAAGUGGCUAAUUUGUCCCGGGGUUUGGGAGAGCUGGCAGAACACACCCAGAAAUGAGGACAGGGCUGUCCGUUAUUCAUUAGCGUCUGUCCCCGCCUUUAGCCACUUCAGGCUCAUUGUGGAUGUUAAUGAAAUGUUUGUGGAUCUGAACAGAGCCCAGAAGAGCUCAAAAACAACCCCUCUCCACUGUGCUCUCCCGCAGAUCAAUCCAGGCACGCACAGCCCCACCGAAGUCAAGUCCCACGUCACCGAGGCAAAGCUGAGCUCCCAUUAUGGAACAGAAGACCAGGACACCCACACUGAUCAUUACAGCACCCUGGGCUCAUUCCCCCAGCAGGUGCAAAACGCAGAGAGGCUUCCUGGCCAGGGGCAUUUGCACGGCUGGCAGCAGUGCAAGCCGAUCUCCACUCAAGUUCAGAAGAGGGCCGAGCAGAGCGCUGACUUUCGUCCCUGCGUUCCUGGCCUUGAGUUAGGCGUUCUCUCGCCACCGCCUCGUCGCUCUUCCCAGGCCCUUGGAAGAGCAGGGUUUUUCUUCUUCGGCAAGGCAAAGCUGAGAGGCUCAAGGUCAUGGAGGUAUCCUGCAGCAGUCAGGGCUUGGCCUGGCCCAGGUUGGCAGGGACACAGCAUAGUGGGGGUUGGUGCGGUUGCGCUUGGAGAAACUGGCCCGGGGAGGGCAGCCUGCAAGGACUUUGCACUUCCCCACAGGGGAGAGUGCGGCUCAGCUCCCCAGGGGAGAGAGCAGAGAGAGGAGAUUGAGAGCGUGCAGUGCAGAGACAGUCGCAAGGACGGAUCACAGCUCCACCCCACGCCAGCUUGUGACGGGGUUGGGGGGAGAUGGAAAGAGGGACAAGUUACAGAACUCCUCCAAGCCCCAUGCUCCUCGUCUGUAAAAUGGACACAUUCGCAGCAGUGCUCUCGCCUGGGGCUGUCAGGCUGGGGCGUGAGCUGGAAACCUUGCCUGGAGGAUAGCAGCUGCAUGUUAGUCAUUCAGAAGGCCACGUGGCACAACUGAUCGUCCUGACCUAAGGAUUCAGUUCCUCUCCUGGGGAGGGGUGUCAAGCACCUCCACCUCCCCCCAGGAGCGCGUGCUCCCCAUACCCUGGUUGCUUGUCCACCCCAGCUGUUCCUGUUCCACCCCAACUCCGAUGGGCUCCGCCCCUCUCACCAUGACAACCUCCUCCAGAGUCCUGGAGUCCAGUGUGGCCAGCUGGCAACAGCCUGGGCGGCUUGGGAGAGCUAAGGCUGCGUGGAGUAGCCCACGGGCAGCAGGAGGUAGAGCCAGGGUCAGACACCCCCCCCUCGCCCCCGCUCUCACGUCCUCCCGUCCCCAACACUGUCUGCUCCAGGCUGCAGUGAGCUGCAUGGGUGGCCACACAACCUUCCUCCCCCUUCCCUGCUUGUCCACCCCCUUGUUGGCCCAGCAGUGUCUCUGGGAUCAUUCUGCCCAGCACAGCAGUGGCGCCCAGGGCUCUCCCAGGAACUCCAGGCUGAGAGAGCCAGAGUCUAAGAGAAAAUGAUUUCCACCCUCGUUACCAGUAACUGCAAUGCUGGAAGCAGGGAGGAGGGGAAGAUGGGGGUGGUGGGGUUCGAGGGAGGCAGGGAGAGACACAGAGAGAGAGGACAUUGGCGAUAUGGAAGAGGCUGAUGAUGGGUGGGCUACUGGUCUGGCAGUGAAGAUGUCGGUUACGAUGCCCGUGUCCAUAUGUGAUACCCGGAUUCAAUCCUAACUCCAGCUUUCCGCUACUGCAGACCCUGGGAGGCGACAGGUGAUGGUUCCAGUAAUUGAAGCCCUGCCACCCACGUGGGAGACCAAGUUCAUGGCAACCACUUUUGGCUCCAGCACAAGCCUGGCCAUUGCAGGCGUUUGGGGAGUAAACCACAGGAUGGGUUCUCUCUCUUUCUCCCUCCCUCCCUCCGUGUCUCUCAAGUAAGUUUUCAAAGCAUGUUGAGGAUGCCAGGAGUCGGGACGAGGACAGAAGUCCGUGGCACAGACUGCCUGGUCCACGUUGUUG
This 2035-nucleotide long non-coding RNA is filed under the name Oryctolagus cuniculus (rabbit). Its description in RNAcentral is "lncRNA (ENSOCUG00000038666.1)". The record is from RNAcentral. Lineage: Eukaryota; Metazoa; Chordata; Mammalia; Lagomorpha; Leporidae.